GGUCCUGUAGCUCAGUGGUUAGAGCGAUGGUCUUAUGAGCUAUAGGCCAUGGGUUUGACACCCGCCGGGACUA
This 73-nucleotide transfer RNA is filed under the name Perkinsus olseni. It matches the Rfam family "tRNA". From Rfam's summary of the family: Transfer RNA (tRNA) molecules are approximately 80 nucleotides in length. Their secondary structure includes four short double-helical elements and three loops (D, anti-codon, and T loops). Lineage: Eukaryota; Perkinsozoa; Perkinsida; Perkinsidae. The record is from Rfam by way of RNAcentral.